AUGAAACUUCAAGUCGGCUGUUCUGUGCUGGUGGCAACACAUGUGCACGUUCAGUCGCAAUCCACACACCUGUGCACUUUGACUCUGAGCACCGCCUGUAACAUGGCAGAAGGUUUGAGAUGAAGGUCUUAACCUGGUACUCGAGUAGUUUACACACUCUGUAUGUAAUAGAAUGUAACUGUACAAUGUACAACUAUAAAC
This 201-nucleotide unclassified non-coding RNA is filed under the name uncultured fungus. Its description in RNAcentral is "sequence contains ITS1". The record is from RNAcentral. Lineage: Eukaryota; Fungi.